RNAcentral lists this small RNA (1567 nucleotides) under Pan troglodytes (chimpanzee). Its description in RNAcentral is "retained intron". The record is from RNAcentral. Lineage: Eukaryota; Metazoa; Chordata; Mammalia; Primates; Hominidae.
AUAUUGAUGUGGCUCUAAACAACAACAGUGUGCGAAGGCCCAGGGGCACUUUGGGAUUGACCAAGAGGAAACACAAGUUGCACAAUGAUACGAUCUUGUUGGUACAAUUGUCAGAGAAGGGAACUCCCACAGCAAAGGCCAUAAAACCAUCCAGGGCAGUCUGGGGCGGCUCAGUUCUGCGGUGCCAGGGAGUGGAGCAGAGCUCAGCCCCGUCCCAAACACAGAUGGGACCAUGAACUCCGGACACAGCUUCAGCCAGACCCCCUCGGCCUCCUUCCAUGGCGCCGGAGGUGGCUGGGGCCGGCCCAGGAGCUUCCCCAGGGCUCCCACCGUCCAUGGCGGUGCGGGGGGAGCCCGCAUCUCCCUGUCCUUCACCACGCGGAGCUGCCCACCCGCUGGAGGGUCUUGGGGUUCUGGAAGAAGCAGCCCCCUCCUAGGCGGAAAUGGGAAGGCCACCAUGCAGAAUCUCAACGACCGCCUGGCCUCCUACCUGGAGAAGGUUCGCGCCCUGGAGGAGGCCAACAUGAAGCUGGAAAGCCGCAUCCUGAAAUGGCACCAGCAGAGAGAUCCUGGCAGUAAGAAAGAUUAUUCCCAGUAUGAGGAAAACAUCACACACCUGCAGGAGCAGAUAGUGGAUGGUAAGAUGACCAAUGCUCAGAUUAUUCUUCUCAUUGACAAUGCCAGGAUGGCAGUGGAUGACUUCAACCUCAAGUAUGAAAAUGAACACUCCUUUAAGAAAGACUUGGAAAUUGAAGUCGAGGGCCUCCGAAGGACCUUAGACAACCUGACCAUUGUCACAACAGACCUAGAACAGGAGGUGGAAGGAAUGAGGAAAGAGCUCAUUCUCAUGAAGAAGCACCAUGAGCAGGAAAUGGAGAAGCAUCAUGUGCCAAGUGACUUCAAUGUCAAUGUGAAGGUGGAUACAGGUCCCAGGGAAGAUCUGAUUAAGGUCCUGGAGGAUAUGAGACAAGAAUAUGAGCUUAUAAUAAAGAAGAAGCAUCGAGACUUGGACACUUGGUAUAAAGAACAGUCUGCAGCCAUGUCCCAGGAGGCAGCCAGUCCAGCCACUGUGCAGAGCAGACAAGGUGACAUCCACGAACUGAAGCGCACAUUCCAGGCCCUGGAGAUUGACCUGCAGGCACAGUACAGCACGAAAUCUGCUUUGGAAAACAUGUUAUCCGAGACCCAGUCUCGGUACUCCUGCAAGCUCCAGGACAUGCAAGAGAUCAUCUCCCACUAUGAGGAGGAACUGAUGCAGCUACGCCACGAACUGGAGCGGCAGAACAACGAAUACCAAGUGCUGCUGGGCAUCAAAACCCACCUGGAGAAGGAAAUCACCACGUACCGACGGCUCCUGGAGGGAGAGAGUGAAGGGUAAGGCAAAGGCUGGCACGAGAGGAGCAUGCGAGGGACCUCCAGCUCCUGUGGGUAUAUGUGUGCAUCUUUGGGUUCUGUUAGCAAGAGUCACUCUAGCAAGAGAAAAGUUGUGUUGAGCUACUCUAGAAGAUACCUAUAGCUGGUUGUAUUUCACUAAGCAGCAAGUAUAAUUAAUCAACUAAUACUCACA